Molecule: ribosomal RNA, 274 nt
Filed under: uncultured bacterium
Lineage: Bacteria
Description: partial 16S ribosomal RNA
Rfam family: Bacterial small subunit ribosomal RNA
Source: RNAcentral
AUACGGAGGAUGCGAGCGUUAAUCGGAAUUACUGGGCGUAAAGCGCGCGUCGGCGGUUAGAUAAGUCUGAUGUGAAAGCCCUGGGCUUAACCUGGGAAUGGCAUUGGAUACUGUUUGACUAGAGUGCGGGAGAGGAGAGUGGAAUUCUCGGGGUAGCGGUGAAAUGCGUAGAGAGCGGGAGGAACACCAGUGGCGAAGGCGGCUCUCUGGACUGACACUGACGCUGAGGUGCGAAAGCGCGGGUAGCAAGCAGGAUUAGAUACCCCGGUAGUCC